ACGGUCCUAAGGUAGCGAAAUUCCUUGUCGGGUAAGUUCCGACCUGCACGAAUGGCGUAACGACUUGGGCACUGUCUCAACCGGGGACUCGGCGAAAUUGCAGUACGAGUAAAGAUGCUCGUUACCCGCGACAGGACGGAAAGACCCCGGGACCUUUACUGCAGCUUGGUGUUGGGUUCUGGCAGGUGUUGCGUAGGAUAGGCGGGAGGCUUCGAAGCUCGGGCUCCGGCUCGGGUGGAGCCACCCUUGAAAUACCGCCCUUCAUCUGUUGGGACUCUAACCUUGGCCCGUGAUCCGGGUCGGGGACAGCGCCUGGUGGGCAGUUUAACUGGGGCGGUUGCCUCCUAAAAUGUAACGGAGGCGCCCAAAGGUUCCCUCAGUCUGGUUGGCAAUCAGACGUCGAGUGCAAGGGCACAAGGGAGCUUGACUGCGAGACCGACGGGUCGAGCAGGUGCGAAAGCAGGGCCUAGUGAUCCGACGACUCCUAGUGGUAGGGUCGUCGCUCAACGGCUAAAAGGUACCCCGGGGAUAACAGGCUGAUCGCUCCCAAGAGUCCAUAUCGACGGAGCGGUUUGGCACCUCGAUGUCGGCUCGUCUCAUCCUGGGGCUGGAGCAGGUCCCAAGGGUCGGGCUGUUCGCCCGUUAAAGAGGCACGCGAGCUGGGUUUAGAACGUCGUGAGACAGUUCGGUCCCUAUCCGUCGUGGGCGUAGGAGACUUGCGGGGAGCUGCCCCUAGUACGAGAGGACCGGGGCGGACGCACCUCUGGUGUGCCAGUUGUCGCGCCAGCGGCACGGCUGGUUAGCCACGUGCGGCAGAGAUAAGCGCUGAAAGCAUCUAAGUGCGAAACUCGCCCCUAGAUGAGGUCUCCCACUGGGUCGACCAGGUAAGGCCCCUCGCAGACUACGAGGUUGAUAGGCCGGAGGUGUACGCGUGGCAACACGUUGAGCCGACCGGUACUAAUAGGCCGAGGACUUGGCUUC
Actinobacteria bacterium RBG_19FT_COMBO_70_19 is the source of this 981-nucleotide non-coding RNA. The record is from Rfam. NCBI's taxonomy places the organism in Bacteria, Bacillati, Actinomycetota.